Molecule: ribosomal RNA, 253 nt
Filed under: uncultured bacterium
Lineage: Bacteria
Description: partial 16S ribosomal RNA
Rfam family: Bacterial small subunit ribosomal RNA
Source: RNAcentral
UACGAAGGGGGCUAGCGUUGUUCGGAAUCACUGGGCGUAAAGGGCGCGUAGGCGGCCGAUCAAGUCGGGGGUGAAAGCCUGUGGCUUAACCACAGAAUGGCCUUCGAUACUGUUUGGCUUGAGACCGGAAGAGGUUAGUGGAACUGCGAGUGUAGAGGUGAAAUUCGUAGAUAUUCGCAAGAACACCAGUGGCGAAGGCGGCUGACUGGUCCGGUUCUGACGCUGGGGCGCGAAAGCGUGGGGAGCAAACAGG